Molecule: ribosomal RNA, 629 nt
Filed under: uncultured Bacillus sp.
Lineage: Bacteria; Bacillati; Bacillota; Bacilli; Caryophanales; Bacillaceae
Description: bacterial SSU rRNA
Rfam family: Bacterial small subunit ribosomal RNA
Source: RNAcentral
UUGCUAAUACCGCAUGAGCAGUUGGUGAAGUAGAGAGCUAACUGGAAAGAGGAAACUCGCUUUGGGAGGGGCCUGCGUCCCAUCAGCUAGUUGGUGAGGUAACGGCUCACCAAGGCAACGAUGCGUAGCCGACCUGAGAGGGUGAUCGGCCACACUGGGACUGAGACACGGCCCAGACUCCUACGGGAGGCAGCAGUAGGGAAUCUUCCGCAAUGGACGAAAGUCUGACGGAGCAACGCCGCGUGAACGAUGAAGGCCUUCGGGUCGUAAAGUUCUGUUGUUAGGGAAGAACAAGUACCAGAGUAACUGCUGGUACCUUGACGGUACCUAACCAGAAAGCCACGGCUAACUACGUGCCAGCAGCCGCGGUAAUACGUAGGUGGCAAGCGUUGUCCGGAAUUAUUGGGCGUAAAGCGCGCGCAGGUGGUUCUUUAAGUCUGAUGUGAAAGCCCACGGCUCAACCGUGGAGGGUCAUUGGAAACUGGGGAACUUGAGUGCAGAAGAGGAAAGUGGAAUUCCAAGUGUAGCGGUGAAAUGCGUAGAGAUUUGGAGGAACACCAGUGGCGAAGGCGGCUUCCUGGACCGACACUGACGCUGAGGCGCGAAAGCUAGGGGAGCAAACGGGAUUA